UCAAGUGAAGAAGCGCAUACGGUGGAUGCCUUGGCAGUCAGAGGCGAUGAAAGACGUGGUAGCCUGCGAAAAGCUUCGGGGAGUCGGCAAACAGACUUUGAUCCGGAGAUCUCUGAAUGGGGGAACCCACCUAGGAUAACCUAGGUAUCUUGUACUGAAUCCAUAGGUGCAAGAGGCGAACCAGGGGAACUGAAACAUCUAAGUACCCUGAGGAAAAGAAAUCAACCGAGAUUCCCUUAGUAGUGGCGAGCGAACGGGGAUUAGCCCUUAAGCUUCAUUGAUUUUAGCGGAACGCUCUGGAAAGUGCGGCCAUAGUGGGUGAUAGCCCCGUACGCGAAAGGAUCUUUGAAGUGAAAUCGAGUAGGACGGAGCACGAGAAACUUUGUCUGAACAUGGGGGGACCAUCCUCCAAGGCUAAAUACUACUGACUGACCGAUAGUGAACCAGUACCGUGAGGGAAAGGCGAAAAGAACCCCGGAGAGGGGAGUGAAAUAGAACCUGAAACCGUAUGCGUACAAGCAGUGGGAGCCUACUUGUUAGGUGACUGCGUACCUUUUGUAUAAUGGGUCAGCGACUUAUAUUCAGUGGCAAGCUUAACCGUAUAGGGUAGGCGUAGCGAAAGCGAGUCUUAAUAGGGCGUUUAGUCGCUGGGUAUAGACCCGAAACCGGGCGAUCUAUCCAUGAGCAGGUUGAAGGUUAGGUAACACUGACUGGAGGACCGAACCCACUCCCGUUGAAAAGGUAGGGGAUGACUUGUGGAUCGGAGUGAAAGGCUAAUCAAGCUCGGAGAUAGCUGGUUCUCCUCGAAAGCUAUUUAGGUAGCGCCUCAUGUAUCACUCUGGGGGGUAGAGCACUGUUUCGGCUAGGGGGUCAUCCCGACUUACCAAACCGAUGCAAACUCCGAAUACCCAGAAGUGCCGAGCAUGGGAGACACACGGCGGGUGCUAACGUCCGUCGUGAAAAGGGAAACAACCCAGACCGCCAGCUAAGGUCCCAAAGUUGUGGUUAAGUGGUAAACGAUGUGGGAAGGCUUAGACAGCUAGGAGGUUGGCUUAGAAGCAGCCAUCCUUUAAAGAAAGCGUAAUAGCUCACUAGUCGAGUCGGCCUGCGCGGAAGAUGUAACGGGGCUCAAACCACACACCGAAGCUGCGGGUGUCACGUAAGUGACGCGGUAGAGGAGCGUUCUGUAAGCCUGUGAAGGUGAGUUGAGAAGCUUGCUGGAGGUAUCAGAAGUGCGAAUGCUGACAUGAGUAACGACAAUGGGUGUGAAAAAAACACCCACGCCGAAAGACCAAGGGUUCCUGCGCAACGUUAAUCGACGCAGGGUUAGUCGGUUCCUAAGGCGAGGCUGAAAAGCGUAGUCGAUGGGAAACAGGUUAAUAUUCCUGUACUUCUGGUUACUGCGAUGGAGGGACGGAGAAGGCUAGGCCAGCUUGGCGUUGGUUGUCCAAGUUUAAGGUGGUAGGCUGAAAUCUUAGGUAAAUCCGGGGUUUCAAGGCCGAGAGCUGAUGACGAGUCGUCUUUUAGAUGACGAAGUGGUUGAUGCCAUGCUUCCAAGAAAAGCUUCUAAGCUUCAGGUAACCAGGAACCGUACCCCAAACCGACACAGGUGGUCGGGUAGAGAAUACCAAGGCGCUUGAGAGAACUCGGGUGAAGGAACUAGGCAAAAUGGCACCGUAACUUCGGGAGAAGGUGCGCCGGCUAGGGUGAAGGAUUUACUCCGUAAGCUCUGGCUGGUCGAAGAUACCAGGCCGCUGCGACUGUUUAUUAAAAACACAGCACUCUGCAAACACGAAAGUGGACGUAUAGGGUGUGACGCCUGCCCGGUGCCGGAAGGUUAAUUGAUGGGGUUAGCGCAAGCGAAGCUCUUGAUCGAAGCCCCGGUAAACGGCGGCCGUAACUAUAACGGUCCUAAGGUAGCGAAAUUCCUUGUCGGGUAAGUUCCGACCUGCACGAAUGGCGUAACGAUGGCGGCGCUGUCUCCACCCGAGACUCAGUGAAAUUGAAAUCGCUGUGAAGAUGCAGUGUAUCCGCGGCUAGACGGGAAGACCCCGUGAACCUUUACUGUAGCUUUGCACUGGACUUUGAGCCUGCUUGUGUAGGAUAGGUGGGAGGCUUUGAAGCGUGGACGCCAGUUCGCGUGGAGCCAUCCUUGAAAUACCACCCUGGCAUGCUUGAGGUUCUAACUCUGGUCCGUGAUCCGGAUCGAGGACAGUGUAUGGUGGGCAGUUUGACUGGGGCGGUCUCCUCCUAAAGAGUAACGGAGGAGUACGAAGGUGCGCUCAGACCGGUCGGAAAUCGGUCGCAGAGUAUAAAGGCAAAAGCGCGCUUGACUGCGAGACAGACACGUCGAGCAGGUACGAAAGUAGGUCUUAGUGAUCCGGUGGUUCUGUAUGGAAGGGCCAUCGCUCAACGGAUAAAAGGUACUCCGGGGAUAACAGGCUGAUACCGCCCAAGAGUUCAUAUCGACGGCGGUGUUUGGCACCUCGAUGUCGGCUCAUCACAUCCUGGGGCUGAAGCCGGUCCCAAGGGUAUGGCUGUUCGCCAUUUAAAGUGGUACGCGAGCUGGGUUUAGAACGUCGUGAGACAGUUCGGUCCCUAUCUGCCGUGGACGUUUGAGAUUUGAGAGGGGCUGCUCCUGUACGAGAGGACCGGAGUGGACGAACCUCUGGUGUUCCGGUUGUCACGCCAGUGGCAUUGCCGGGUAGCUAUGUUCGGAAAAGAUAACCGCUGAAAGCAUCUAAGCGGGAAACUUGCCUCAAGAUGAGAUCUCACUGGGAACUUGAUUCCCCUGAAGGGCCGUCGAAGACUACGACGUUGAUAGGCUGGGGUGUAAGCGUUGUGAGGCGUUGAGCUAACCAGUACUAAUUGCCCGUGAGGCUUGACCA
Molecule: ribosomal RNA, 2888 nt
Filed under: Pseudomonas aeruginosa
Lineage: Bacteria; Pseudomonadati; Pseudomonadota; Gammaproteobacteria; Pseudomonadales; Pseudomonadaceae
Description: bacterial LSU rRNA
Rfam family: Bacterial large subunit ribosomal RNA
Source: RNAcentral